GAUAAACGCUGGCGGCGUGCAUGAGACAUGCAAGUCGAACGAAGGAUCGGGCUUGCUCGAUCCUUAGUGGCGGACGGCUGAGUAACGCGUAGGUGACCUACCUCGAAGUGGGGAAUAACUGCCCGAAAGGGUGGCUAAUACCGCAUGUGGUCGCACGUUCAUUCGUGCGAGUAAAGCCGCAAGGCGCUUCGGGAGGGGCCUGCGUCCGAUUAGCUCGUUGGUGGGGUAAUGGCUUACCAAGGCGACGAUCGGUAGGUGGUCUGAGAGGACGAUCACCCAGACUGGGACUGAGACACGGCCCAGACUCCUACGGGAGGCAGCAGUCGGGAAUUUUGCUCAAUGGGGGAAACCCUGAAGCAGCAACGCCGCGUGAGGGAUGAAGGCCUUCGGGUUGUAAACCUCUUUUGUCAGGGACGAUGAUGACGGUACCUGGCGAAUAAGCCACGGCUAACUACGU
RNAcentral lists this ribosomal RNA (457 nucleotides) under uncultured bacterium. Its description in RNAcentral is "partial 16S ribosomal RNA". It matches the Rfam family "Bacterial small subunit ribosomal RNA", at positions 28 to 506 of the family's 1533-position model. The record is from RNAcentral.